This 752-nucleotide ribosomal RNA is filed under the name uncultured bacterium. RNAcentral describes it as "bacterial SSU rRNA". It matches the Rfam family "Bacterial small subunit ribosomal RNA", at positions 8 to 796 of the family's 1533-position model. The record is from RNAcentral.
AGAGUUUGAUCCUGGCUCAGAAUCAACGCUGGCGGCGCGCUUAACACAUGCAAGUCGCACGAGAAAGGGAGCAAUCCUAAGUAAAGUGGCGCACGGGUGAGUAACACGUGGAUCAUCUACCUUUUAGUGGGGAAUACCUCUGGGAAACCGGAGACAAUACCGCAUAAGCCUGUAAAGGGAAAGCAGCAAUGCGCUGAAAGAGGAGUCCGCGGCCGAUUAGCUAGUUGGCGGGGUAACGGCCCACCAAGGCGAAGAUCGGUAGCCGGCCUGAGAGGGCACACGGCCACACUGGCACUGAAACACGGGCCAGACUCCUACGGGAGGCAGCAGUGGGGAAUCUUGCACAAUGGGCGAAAGCCUGAUGCAGCGACGCCGCGUGAGCGAUGAAGCCCUUCGGGGUGUAAAGCUCUUUCGACGGGAACGAUAAUGACGGUACCCGGAGAAGAAGCUGCGGCUAACUACGUGCCAGCAGCCGCGGUAAUACGUAGGCAGCGAGCGUUGUUCGGAAUUACUGGGCGUAAAGAGUGUGUAGGCGGUGUUCCCAGUCUGUUGUGAAAUCUCCCGGCUUAACUGGGAGGGUGCAGCGGAAACUAGAAUGCUAGAGGGUGGGAGAGGUAAGCGGAAUCCCUGGUGUAGCGGUGAAAUGCGUAGAUAUCAGGAGGAACACCUGGUGUAGACAGCUUACUGGACCACUUCUGACGCUGAGACACGAAAGCGUGGGUAGCAAACAGGAUUAGAUACCCUAGUAGUCC